UUAUUAUUUCAGUUGUUAUAGCUUAGAUAGUUAUAUGGUUCAGUAUUUUUAUUACAUUUGAAAAUAUGGAUUUUCGUGAAUGUAAUAAACGGAUUUCUGGAUUUUGUAAAAUAAAAGGUUUUCUACCCCUCGUGGUAGCAUUUUUUAAAGAAUAAAGGUUUCCGUGCAGGAAAUAGUUUUCAAAAGGUUUCUGUGGAUUUUGCAUCUUAGUAUUUCAAAAUCUGUUUCUGUGGUUGGAAACAUUUUAACUGAGAGGUGUGGAUUUAUGCAUAAAUGUGAAUCUGUAGUGAAUGGUGUAUGAAUAUAUAUAACGGUUGGUUAUUUGUAUGUUCAUUUGUUGUGGUUGUGCCUGGAUGACUUCUUGUACUUGUGCGACGCCGUGCAAAUACAGGGGAGACUCUGUCCGUGUGAAUAGUGGAUUUCCUAUAUUUGUGGCGGAUCUGGCAUACUCUGGGGUCAGGUUUUCAAAAAAAAAAAAUU
Molecule: long non-coding RNA, 480 nt
Filed under: Ananas comosus (pineapple)
Lineage: Eukaryota; Viridiplantae; Streptophyta; Magnoliopsida; Poales; Bromeliaceae
Description: long non-coding RNA (ACOM_LNC001908)
Source: RNAcentral